Molecule: ribosomal RNA, 254 nt
Filed under: uncultured bacterium
Lineage: Bacteria
Description: partial 16S ribosomal RNA
Rfam family: Bacterial small subunit ribosomal RNA
Source: RNAcentral
UACGUAGGGUGCGAGCGUUGUCCGGAAUUAUUGGGCGUAAAGAGCUCGUAGGCGGUGUGUCGCGUCGGCCGUGAAAACCUGGGGCUUAACUCUGGGCGUGCGGUCGAUACGGGCAUCACUAGAGUUCGGCAGGGGAGACUGGAAUUCCUGGUGUAGCGGUGAAAUGCGCAGAUAUCAGGAGGAACACCGGUGGCGAAGGCGGGUCUCUGGGCCGAUACUGACGCUGGGGUGCGAAAGCGUGGGGAGCAAACAGG